Molecule: long non-coding RNA, 625 nt
Filed under: Medicago truncatula (barrel medic)
Lineage: Eukaryota; Viridiplantae; Streptophyta; Magnoliopsida; Fabales; Fabaceae
Description: long non-coding RNA (MTRU_LNC004081)
Source: RNAcentral
AAAUAAAAUCACUUUUAUUAAUGAUUUAAAUCAUAGGCGUAUAAAGAGUAAGCUUGGGAGGGAACAUUAUCCUUCCAAACUUUAUUGGGUUCUAAAUGAGCAAGUUGGGCCAGACAAUGGGCCACUCUAUUGCCUAUUCUAGGAGUAAAAUGAUAAGUACAGGUGUCAAACAGAGCACUGGUCAUCCAGAUUUCCUUCAAGAUAUAUCCUAAAUAUGAUCUAUCUUCUGUAUGCUGUCUUUUGAGCUUUUUAACGAUACUUUCACAAUCACUCUCAAAAACCAUGUUCCUGAGACCACAAUUGACAGCGAGAUGCAUACCAGCAAAGAUAGCGUACGCUUCAGCCGUCUCUGCGUUAUCAAACCCAUUUCUUCCACACGAGGCUGAGACCGAUGCAAGACCUUCUGAAUUUCUGAUGAUGCAUCCCAAACCCCAUCGUCCUGGUACUUGUAAAUUAGCAUCACAGUUGGCUUUAUGUAUGUUCCCCUUCGGUCUUUUCCAUUUAGUGGUUUCGUUGUGAUUAGAUUUUUGUUGUAAUGAAUUGAGGUUGGAAUUGAGCACGGUAGGAGCUGAGGUUUGACACUGGGGCGAAGUUGUUACAUGUGUUAUUUGUAUUGAAAAUUGAG